UUCAUUGUAUCCUCUCCGCUUUUGUUAGAGUUCUUGACUUCCUUGAGAAUUGCCUCCAUUGUCCUUUCCUACAACAAGGCUAACCCAAUGGUUUGGGCUAGUGUGUACGGUCGAAACAUGGUGACUUGAUUUUUUAAUUGCCUCUUUCAAGCCACUAAUGAAACAUUGAACAAAAAAUGCCUUUGACAAGACUAGUUCUAGCUAUCAAUGCUUCAAACUACUCUUGGUAUGCCUUAAUUGUAGAAACCUAUUUCAAUUUGGUUAUUUGCCCAAUAAGGCUGUCAUAAACACUAGGACCAAACUUAGAAACAAUAUCUAUAGAAAAUUGUGUCCUAUUGAUUUCCAUGUUACUAGCCUUGUACCCUUGAAACCAUUCCAAGGCCCUUCCUUCUAAAUGUAAAGGAGCCAAUCCUACCUUCUCUUGGUUCCAAUUCCAUUAAUUUUAAAAAAUCUAUCACAUUUGUAAAUCCAUCCACAAGGAUUCUCACCUUCAAAAUUUGGAAAAUUGAGUUUGGAAAACUUGGUUUGAAAGGAGUUUGUAUCGUAUGAGUGAUAGCCUGUACUGCUUCUAUUAAUUGAAGCAUUUUUCCAUGUCUUUCCCAUUAUACUCUCCCUAUUUUAUAUAGGCUACUGAAUAGAAAGAGAAAUUGAAUAAAGUAGAAUCUAAAUAAAAUAAAAACUAAUCUUAAGGAUACUUUAUUCCCUAAAUUAAAUAGAAACUAAUUAAGAAUAGAAACAAAAGAUUGAGGGAUCUGAGGAUCCUUUAUUUGGGUUUGUUCGGGUUGUAACAACAAUUGAGAGCGUUCUGCCUUUUGUACUGCAAUGCUUCAAGAAAAGGGACACCAGAUUUUGAAACCGCCCAUCUGUCAGUCAUGGGUGGAAAUCUGGUACCCCUAAGUGAAAAAUUCAGAGCUCUUUUAAGGCUUGAAUAAGGCUGUAGAUUUUCGAGUUCCUUAGUAAUUGUUCUCCUAUAAUCGAGGGUUGUAUGUUUAUUUAUCCUUUUCAAUAUAUAUAUAUUUCCUUUUUCGUAUAGAUAUCAUUUCUGUGUAUACAUGUAAUUGAUUGAUACAUUAUUUUAUUCCUUUUCAGUACUUUACAAGCCGCUCCAUGUUUGCUACCCAUUCGCCAUUUUACACCACUAAGCAAUUAAACUGCAAUGCUGCUACAAAUUUUGAGCUGCUUAUAAAUAUAUGAUCAGAAUUUCAAGUUCAGUUAUCAUCCAGGAAACCUGAUGGCUAUUGCAUUAUGCUGAAGUUAAUACCAGUUUGGUACAUUCUCAUAAAAUUAUGAGUAUGGUAUUCUUAAUCAUCUGAUUGGGUUACUUAUAUAUCCCAGACUUCUAUAUAUGUUGCGAUACGUUCCUUGUUGUUCUGAUAAAUUGCAUAUAACAAAUUAUAAGAGUAUAUAUAUAGUUCUGAAUUUACUUUCCUGUGGUAUCAAGCCAUGCAGCGAUUCUGCAGUUUCCCUUACAUCAAGCAUGGCAGAUAUUUUAAGGCAGAGGUAUGGUAGUUACUAACCUCUAGAGCAUGAAAGAUGACUAUAUCAAUAUACUGAAGAUGGUGUCGGUGAAGAGCUCCUCUGGGCUGGUCAGACCAAGGCAGUGAUAGUGCUGGAAGGAAAAACGGUGGGUGGUGAGGAACGAUAACCGUGUGCGUGUUGGUGGUCGAUGGUGGCAGUAAGUGUGGGGACGGCUGAAUCUGGCCAUGACAAUAGCGACGGCAUUGCUGGCAGCACUGGUGGAGGUUGUGGCGGUGACAUCUUGAGCUCCUCAUUCAGCUUCUGCAACGCCCUACAAAGUAUUAAAUAUAUUCAUCAUCAAAAUCACCAUUAUUAGAGGGCGCCGUUUAUCUUUAAGUGUUUUAGUGUUUGCUUUUAUAACUAUCUUAAUGUUAUUCAGUGUGAAAUAAAAUUAUUUUUAUAUACCAAAAAAUAUUUAUUAUGUUUUUUCUUCUUUUACAUUAUUAAGAUUAAGACAAAAAUAUUUGAAAACUAAUAAUAUGGGAAAAAAAAAAUAGUUUAAUAUAUUUCCAUUAUCCCAAAAUACUAUAAUUUAUUACAAUAAUAAAAUUUUUGCGAUCAUUAACUAUGUAGUUAGUAAAGAAUUUGAUCAUUAGAUAGCGAUUAGAGUUUCUAAUUAGAUUUAGAGUGCGUCGGAUAGUGAUUUUAAGAGCUAUUUCCAACAUUUAUAAUAUUUAGAAAUUUUCAUUCUUUAAGUAUUAAAAAUACUAUAAACACUUUUUAUAAUAACUAUCAAACACACUUUUAGAUUUGGUAGUGAAGAAAUAUUAGAAAUUUUCUAUGUUAGGUUUCAUUGAUUAUUUAUUAGUUUUUAUCUAUUAUAUUUUUGGAUUUAUAAAUUUUUAUUAAAAUGUGAAAUCCAUUGUUGAAAUUAAUUUAUUAUUUUUUCAUUUUCAAUUUUUUUUAUAAAAAAAAUGGAUUAUAAUUUUUGAUAUUUUUUUAAAAAUUAUUUAGAAAUAAUUGAUUGUAGUGAAUAUUUAAAAGAGUAUGAGUUAUAUUUUAGAAUUAUAAUUUAAAAUUUUACCCUAAAGUUAUGUACGGUAAAAGCAUAAAUUUAAAAUUUUUUAUUAAAUUCAUGUAAAGAAAAGAAAAAAAUAUAUAUACCAUAGGAAAUUGAAAUUUUGAAAAUUUUUACUCAACAAUUUAAAUUGUAUUUCAAAGGGUAAAAUAAUUAUAAAAAAAUUAUGUAAAGAAUACAAUAGAAAAUAAUACUGAUAUAUUUAUAAUUUCAUAUUUUUAAUCAUGAAUAAUAUUAAUAAAAAAUAAGUAUUACUUAUAAAUGAUAAAUUCUAGAACAAUUUUGCAAAUAGCACUAAAUAUGAUAUAUAUAUAUAUAUAUAUAUUUUAUACUUUUUUAAUAGUAAUUAUUUGAAUGUCAUGUUAGGGUAAGGCAGUGUGUGUAUGUGAAACUCUGGAUUUACCUUCGCGUAGCAUCAAACGACGUGGUGAUUGAGUAGAUUCCCUUACAUCAACUCCUGCAUUUAAAUUGUCGUUUGAUGUCAAGAACGAAUUAAAGUCAACUACAUUCUAUAGAAACUUCAACUGGAAAUAGGAUUAGUAGCUAACCUCUACUGCAGCAUGAAAGAUGAGAGUACCAAUGCGCUGAGGAUGGCCUUGGCUUAUUAGGCGACUUCGGACCAGGACCGGGGGAGUCGGAUGCUUGCAUGGAGGACUUUGUGAAAUCUGGGCUCGACCGAACGUUGGUGGGCGCCACCUCUAGAUCAGGAAUGUGCAUGAUCUUUGGCCAAUCUGGGCCUCCUCCCUCCUUGCUGCAUCUCUCCAUCAGCAGUGGGCAUCCUUGAAUGACCAAAUGUUGAAGGAAGGGGGAGACGCCUUCCUUGGGCAAGCGCUUGAUUUUGGGGCAGUACUCAAUAUAAAGAUCCGUGAGGGACGUGAGACUUGUUAGCACAUCCUCGGGACCAAGGGCCUCAAGGCUGGUGCAGGAACUGAUGGUCAAGCAUUCAAGCGUUUUGGGGAGUCCUCCAUGGGGCAACGUCACAAGGCUGGGGCAGCUUUGAAUAGACAAUAGUUUGAGGAAAGUCAAACCUUGGAAUGGUGCUGCUUCUUCACACAAAGACAAUAGAUCCUUGCAAUGCCGAAUGUGCAAAGCCCUGAGAGAGGGAAGGUAAGGCCACUUUGGGAAGGAGGUGGCAUUUGAGAAGUUGGAAAUUACCAAGGAGCAAAGAGAACUGCUGUCAGGUAUUUCGCCUAUUAGUUUUCCACCGUGACAUGAUUGGUCCACUGCCAAAUGCUGAAGACGUCGAAAGCAACCCGGGUUUGGGAGGGCGGUCACUAACUCACACCCAAUAAUCUCCACCUUCUGCGGUGCAAACACUUGUGGCAGUGCUUGCAGCUUAGGGCAAGAAACAAUUUUCAAUUCCAAGAGUUUAGAAAAGGAGGAAUUCGCUUCAUUCAAGUCUUCCAAAACAAGAUUGUCAAUGAGUAUCAGGAACUCCAGAGAUUGGGUUCCUGGGAGAACCUUGAGGGAUUUGCACCUUUUGAUCUUCAAAUCUCUUAGCUCGGAAAAGUAGGGUAACUCUGUUAGCUUAGGGCAAUCCACGAUCUUGAGCGUAUCAAUGGAAACUUCAUUAGCUUGGGAAAGUUCCUCUUGCGAUUCGCCAAAUACUGAUAAUCCCUGCAACUCCUGCAUCUCUUUCAGGAACAGCCGUCGAAGGUGGGGUAAGUGGCCAAUUGAGAAAAAUUUGCAUUUUGUGCAAUGGUUCAAGGAAAGGGACACCAGAUUUUGAAGCGCCUUCUCUUUCAUCAAAAGAGGAAAUCUGGUACCC
Molecule: long non-coding RNA, 4304 nt
Filed under: Vitis vinifera (wine grape)
Lineage: Eukaryota; Viridiplantae; Streptophyta; Magnoliopsida; Vitales; Vitaceae
Description: long non-coding RNA (VVIN_LNC004916)
Source: RNAcentral